Molecule: transfer RNA, 74 nt
Filed under: Planctomycetota bacterium
Lineage: Bacteria; Pseudomonadati; Planctomycetota
Description: tRNA-Gly
Rfam family: tRNA
About the family: Transfer RNA (tRNA) molecules are approximately 80 nucleotides in length. Their secondary structure includes four short double-helical elements and three loops (D, anti-codon, and T loops). Further hydrogen bonds mediate the characteristic L-shaped molecular structure. tRNAs have two regions of fundamental functional importance: the anti-codon, which is responsible for specific mRNA codon recognition, and the 3' end, to which the tRNAs corresponding amino acid is attached (by aminoacyl-tRNA synthetases). tRNAs cope with the degeneracy of the genetic code in two manners: having more than one tRNA (with a specific anti-codon) for a particular amino acid; and 'wobble' base-pairing, i.e. permitting non-standard base-pairing at the 3rd anti-codon position.
Source: RNAcentral
GCGGGCGUAGCUCAAUGGCAGAGCGAUAGCUUCCCAAGCUAUAUACGAGGGUCCGAUUCCCUUCGCCCGCUCCA